Molecule: long non-coding RNA, 2045 nt
Filed under: Salmo salar (Atlantic salmon)
Lineage: Eukaryota; Metazoa; Chordata; Actinopteri; Salmoniformes; Salmonidae
Description: lncRNA (ENSSSAG00000118004.1)
Source: RNAcentral
CACACAAGUUCAAAUCUUAAACUACGCCUUGCUCAGACAGUUACUUUUCCACUACACACAUACAUUGUUUAUCCUAUUCUGCAACAUGUUUCAUCAUUUUCUGCAAGCCUAACUGUAACGGCUGUCUUCGUGAAGAGAGGACCAAGGCGCAGCGGGUUGCGUGCUCAUCAUUAUAUUUAUUUUAAAUAAAGACUGUGAACACGGGAAAGACAAGCAACGACAGGAACCAGUUUAGCAGGCUAUACACGUAACAGCAGUGCUACAGACAACUACCCACAAAUAACAAACAAAACACAUCCCUAAUUAUAGGACUCUCAAUCAAAGGCAACUACAAACACCUGCCUCCAAUUGAAAGUCCAACACCCAAUUACCUAACAUAGAAAAUACUAAACUAGAAAGAACAUAGAAAUACAAAAACAUAGAACAUAACCCAAAACCCGGAAAUAAUAAAUCAAACACCCUACUAAACAAACCACCACCCCGAACCACAUAAAACAAAUACCCCCUGCCACGUCCUGACCAAACCACAAUCACAAAUAACCCCUAUUACUGGUCAGGACGUGACACUAACAAUGUUAUUGGUUUCACAGUAGCACAGCUUGUCUAUCGAUUGCUCCUCCUAUCCUUUGUUUCACACUUACGCCCUGCUUCCAUAGCUAAACAGGAACAAAAAAAUGUCCUGGUUCUAAUUCUGACUAAAACUACACGCAUCAGAUUAUAGUUUUAUGAUUCUAAUACAUUUCACACAGUUAUACAGUUUCAGGGUGAAAUAUCUUAGUCAUUACUUUAAACAUACAAAUUCUUCUAUCAUCUUGGCGCACACGUUUUAUACAUUUGUCCUCCUCACGUCAUCCUCAUAGUAACUCCUCUUAAUGGCUCAUCACCUGUGGCAUUUAGCCACCGUUAUCUCAUUGCCUUCGUAUUAGAACAUGGAACCUGUAGAGCCACAGAAAUACUUUCAUGCAUGUAGGACCAUAGCAACAGACCUUUUUAUUUUAUUUUGAUUUUAUUAUUGUGACUAUUUUUUUUUUACUUGUUCACAUGAUUAAGCAUGUAUUUAAUAUAGCAAUAAUGACAUUAACUUAUUUAGUGAGCUGUCUUUUAGCCAAGAUAUGAAAUGUAAUCAUAAAUGACUGUAGCGCAUAAGACACACACAACAAAUCAAAGUUUAUUUGUCACGUGUGCUGAAUACAACAGGUGUAGUAGACCUUACAGUGAAAUGCUGAAUACAACAGGUGUAGUAGACCUUACAGUGAAAUGCUGAAUACAACAGGUGUAGUAGACCUUACAGUGAAAUGCUGAAUACAACAGGUGUAGUAGACCUUACAGUGAAAUGCUGAAUACAACAGGUGUAGUAGACCUUACAGUGAAAUGCUGAAUACAACAGGUGUAGUAGACCUUACAGUGAAAUGCUUACUUACAGGCUCUAACCAAUAGUGCAAAAAAGGUGUUAGGUGAACAAUAGGUAGGUAAAGAAAUAAAACAACAGUAAAAAGACAGGCUAUAAAAGUAGCGAGGCUACGUACAGACACGGUGAGCCAGGCUGAUUGAGGUAGUAUGUAGAUAUGGUUAAAGUGACUAUGCAUAUAUGAUAAACAGAGAGUAGCAGCAGCGUAAAAGAGGGGUUGGCAGGUGGUGGGUGGGACACAAUGCAGAUAGCCCGGUUAGCCAAUGUGUUGGUCGGCCCAAUUGAGGUAGUAUGUACAUAUGAACAUGAAUGUAUAGCUAAAGUGACUAUGCACAUACGAUAAACAGAGAGUAGCAGCAGUGUAAAAAGAGGGGUUGGGGGGGGGGGCACAAUGCAAAUAGUCUGGGUAACCAUUUGGUUAGCUGUUCAGGAGUCUUAUGGCUUGGGGGUAAAAACGGUUGAGAAGCCUUUUUGUCCUAGACUUGGCACUGAGGUACCGCUUGCCAUGCGGUAGUAGAGAGAACAGUCUAUGACUGGGGUGGCUGGGGUCUAUGACUGGGGUGGCUGGGGUCUAUGACUGGGGUCUAUGGCUGGGGUGGCUGGGGUCUUUGACUGGGGUGGCUGGGGUCUAUGACUG